Molecule: long non-coding RNA, 774 nt
Filed under: Pectinophora gossypiella (pink bollworm)
Lineage: Eukaryota; Metazoa; Arthropoda; Insecta; Lepidoptera; Gelechiidae
Description: uncharacterized LOC126376093
Source: RNAcentral
UUAUAUUUACCGAACUAUUUGACACGGUCGCGUCAACUGUGUUUACGAGUGUCUUGUGUUCAGAUUGUUUUAAGUGAUAAUUUAACAAUAUUUUUCCAAAUAAAUGGAAAGAAACUUUUAUUUAUAUCAAAUAAUUGAGUGUCUCGACUGUGUGACAUUAUGUCUUGUGUGGUAUGGGGCUGCAGCUCACAUUCAGGAAGAAAAGAAAAUAGCCAACAACUUCUGUCGUUUCAUCGAUAUUAAAUCCAAAAGUGUCGACUGGAUUUACAUGAAAAGUCAGUUCAAGAAGACGAGAUGAAAAAUUUAAAAGAAAAGCUGAACAAGUCCCGCCUCAAGAUCAAACGACUUAAUGAAAAAAAAAAAACAUUGUGACAGGGUGUCACAAAGACAGUUUCUAAUUUCUAAGCUGUUUAGAAAUUAAUAAAUUUGUAUUUAUUGUAAAUAUAAUGUACAUAAUUAAUAACGUGUGAAAUAAAUACUUGCUAAUGAAAAUGAACAGAUUUACGAUCUAAUUUAUAUUUCAUUUUACCUCGUGUUCUUAUUUACUCCUACUCCAACACUCCAGGUUGAUACGAACUGCGCCCAAUAAAGAAUGUAAUGAAUGUUAUAGAUUUGUGUAAGCGACUUAGAUAAAUCUUGACUAAACCUUCCUUUACAAAUACAAAUAUACUUUAUUGCACACAACAUACAAUACUUACAAGUUUUACACGAAAGAUACAGUACACCACCUACCUACCUUUUACUUUCCCUUUCUGUUCUCUUAUGAAUACUUGU